AAUGAUACCAAUUUUUAACUUACUAGCAACUGUCUCUUUCAGUUGGUUAUCAGCACAUGUUAUGAUGAAUUCAGGGAGUUGGUCAACAAAUGUAUCCAUGAAAAAACCAGGAAAAGAAAUUUUGACUGCUUCUUGCUGCUUGUUACUGUGAAAGAUAAUCGACUGCUUCCUGAUUCUUAGGAAAAGGAAACAAAAGUUCACUCCCUCAA
This 209-nucleotide long non-coding RNA is filed under the name Felis catus (domestic cat). RNAcentral describes it as "lncRNA (ENSFCAG00000049709.1)". The record is from RNAcentral. Lineage: Eukaryota; Metazoa; Chordata; Mammalia; Carnivora; Felidae.